RNAcentral lists this ribosomal RNA (324 nucleotides) under Triticum aestivum (bread wheat). RNAcentral's name for it is "partial small subunit ribosomal RNA". Lineage: Eukaryota; Viridiplantae; Streptophyta; Magnoliopsida; Poales; Poaceae. The record is from RNAcentral.
AUGAAAGGUAGCGCGCCCCUCUCUGCCCAUUCCGGGUACACAUACUUCAAGCUGUGCUCAUGGUUCGCCGACGUGCUCCCCUGCCUUGCCCGCCUCCCCAAGCUGCUCGAGGACCACUACGCCGGCGCCCGGGCCACGCUCGGGCUCCGCCUCCUGGGCUCCCAGGGCGCGGGCGUCGUGCUCUUCGGCCAGGAGCUCGCCGCCGUCCUCUUCUGCUUGUUCCCCGCCGCCAGCCGUGACAAGGCCCGCCUCCCGGCCAUCAAUUUCGACGCCUUGCUCUCGGCACUUACCAACAAUGUGAGGUGCCGGUUUUGUGUCGUCUGA